Molecule: ribosomal RNA, 641 nt
Filed under: Vibrio parahaemolyticus
Lineage: Bacteria; Pseudomonadati; Pseudomonadota; Gammaproteobacteria; Vibrionales; Vibrionaceae
Description: bacterial SSU rRNA
Rfam family: Bacterial small subunit ribosomal RNA
Source: RNAcentral
AAAUUGAAGAGUUUGAUCAUGGCUCAGAUUGAACGCUGGCGGCAGGCCUAACACAUGCAAGUCGAGCGGAAACGAGUUAUCUGAACCUUCGGGGGGCGAUAACGGCGUCGAGCGGCGGACGGGUGAGUAAUGCCUAGGAAAUUGCCCUGAUGUGGGGGAUAACCAUUGGAAACGAUGGCUAAUACCGCAUGAUGCCUACGGGCCAAAGAGGGGGACCUUCGGGCCUCUCGCGUCAGGAUAUGCCUAGGUGGGAUUAGCUAGUUGGUGAGGUAAGGGCUCACCAAGGCGACGAUCCCUAGCUGGUCUGAGAGGAUGAUCAGCCACACUGGAACUGAGACACGGUCCAGACUCCUACGGGAGGCAGCAGUGGGGAAUAUUGCACAAUGGGCGCAAGCCUGAUGCAGCCAUGCCGCGUGUGUGAAGAAGGCCUUCGGGUUGUAAAGCACUUUCAGUCGUGAGGAAGGCGGUGUAGUUAAUAGCUGCAUCGUUUGACGUUAGCGACAGAAGAAGCACCGGCUAACUCCGUGCCAGCAGCCGCGGUAAUACGGAGGGUGCGAGCGUUAAUCGGAAUUACUGGGCGUAAAGCGCAUGCAGGUGGUUUGUUAAGUCAGAUGUGAAAGCCCGGGGCUCAACCUCGGAAU